This 335-nucleotide unclassified non-coding RNA is filed under the name soil metagenome. RNAcentral describes it as "partial contains 5.8S ribosomal RNA, internal transcribed spacer 2, and large subunit ribosomal RNA". The stretch from base 1 to 120 matches the Rfam family "5.8S ribosomal RNA", at positions 35 to 154 of the family's 154-position model. The record is from RNAcentral.
GAUGAAGAACGUAGCGAAAUGCGAUAAGUAAUGUGAAUUGCAGAAUUCAGUGAAUCAUCGAAUCUUUGAACGCACAUUGCGCCCGCCAGUAUUCUGGCGGGCAUGCCUGUUCGAGCGUCAUUUCAACCAUCGAGCCCCCGGCUUGUGUUGGGGACCUGCGGCUGCCGCAGGCCCUGAAAACCAGUGGCGGGCUCGCUAGUCACUCCGAGCGUAGUAAUACAUCUCGCUCAGGGCGUGCUGCGGGUUCCGGCCGUUAAAAAGCCUUAUUUACCCAAGGUUGACCUCGGAUCAGGUAGGAAGACCCGCUGAACUUAAGCAUAUCAAUAAGCGGAGGA